AAACUUACCUGGCUGGGGGCGUCUCACGAUCAUUAAGGCGGGACCCCCAUGGUGAGGCCCGCGCAUUGCACUUCCGCCCGGGCUGACCCGUGUGGCAGUCUCGAACUGAGAUUCGCCAACAGCUAAAUUUUUGUGUGUGGGGCUGCGUUCGCGCGGCCCUGA
This 162-nucleotide small nuclear RNA is filed under the name Ancylostoma caninum (dog hookworm). Its description in RNAcentral is "U1 spliceosomal RNA". It matches the Rfam family "U1 spliceosomal RNA". From Rfam's summary of the family: U1 is a small nuclear RNA (snRNA) component of the spliceosome (involved in pre-mRNA splicing). The record is from Rfam by way of RNAcentral. Lineage: Eukaryota; Metazoa; Nematoda; Chromadorea; Rhabditida; Ancylostomatidae.